RNAcentral lists this ribosomal RNA (492 nucleotides) under uncultured bacterium. RNAcentral's name for it is "partial 16S ribosomal RNA". It matches the Rfam family "Bacterial small subunit ribosomal RNA", at positions 29 to 507 of the family's 1533-position model. The record is from RNAcentral.
AGUGAACGCUGGCGGUAGGCCUAACACAUGCAAGUCGAACGGCAGCACAGUAAGAGCUUGCUCUUACGGGUGGCGAGUGGCGGACGGGUGAGGAAUACAUCGGGAUCUACUUUUUCGUGGGGGAUAACGUAGGGAAACUUACGCUAAUACCGCAUACGACCUACGGGUGAAAGCAGGGGAUCUUCGGACCUUGCGCGAUUGAAUGAGCCGAUGUCGGAUUAGCUAGUUGGCGGGGUAAAGGCCCACCAAGGCGACGAUCCGUAGCUGGUCUGAGAGGAUGAUCAGCGACACUGGAACUGAGACACGGUCAAGACUCCUACGGGAGGCAGCAGUGGGGAAUAUUGGACAAUGGGCGCAAGCAUGAUCCAGCCAUACCGCGUGGGUGAAGAAGGACUUCGGGUUGUAAAGCCCUUUUGUUGGGAAAGAAAAGCAGCAGGUUAAUACCCCGCUGUUCUGACGGUACCCAAAGAAUAAGCACCGGCUAACUUCGUG